RNAcentral lists this ribosomal RNA (467 nucleotides) under uncultured bacterium. RNAcentral describes it as "partial 16S ribosomal RNA". It matches the Rfam family "Bacterial small subunit ribosomal RNA", at positions 28 to 507 of the family's 1533-position model. The record is from RNAcentral.
GACGAACGCUGGCGGCGUGCUUAAUACAUGCAAGUCGAACGGAAAGGCCACUUUCGGGGGGUACUCGCGUGGCCAACGGGCGAGUAACACGUGCGUAACCUGCCCUCGUCUAUGGGAUAACUUAAGUAAACUGGGGCUAAUACCUGCUAGGAGCUCCUGUUGCACGGUUGGGGCUGGAAAGUUUCGGCGGUUGGGGAUGGCCUCUCGGCUUAUCAGCUCGUUGUUGGGGAAGUGGCUUACCAAGGCUUUGACGGGUAGCCGGCCUGAGAGGGUGACCGGCCACAUUGGGACUGAGAUACGGCCCAGACUCCUACGGGAGGCAGCAGUGGGGAAUAUUGCACAAUGGGUGGAAGCCUGAUGCAGCAACGCCGUGUGCGGGAUGACGGCCUUCGGGUUGUAAACCGCUUUCGCUCAUGACGAAGCUUUGUGUGACGGUAGUGGGUAAAGAAGCACCGGCUAACUACGUG